GGUCUCUCCCGGACAUCGAUCGGGAAACGUAAAAACUGGUCAAAGCCGGCAUUGGGCGAACUUCCGGCCGGCUGCGGCGGUUAUCAUGCCGUCCCCCCGAUCGAGACUCACCAUAUAUCGUCGAUGCAUGCGCCGUUAUUCUAUCCUCUUUCUGAUUCUUCUUUCGAUCUCCACUCUCACGGCACAGCAGCCUGAUGGGCGUCGUCUGUCGAUUUCCGGCAGUGUCAUCGAUGCGACCACGCGCAGGCCGCUGGCGGGCGCGACGAUCCGUGUUGUCGAUACACGACGCGGGGCGAUCGCCGGUGCCGACGGGCGGUUCGAGAUCUACGAUCUGGAGCCGGCGACAUACCAGCUGCAGAUCUCGCUGG
RNAcentral lists this unclassified non-coding RNA (368 nucleotides) under uncultured bacterium. Its description in RNAcentral is "contains 16S-23S intergenic spacer region". The record is from RNAcentral.